This 480-nucleotide long non-coding RNA is filed under the name Aquilegia coerulea. RNAcentral describes it as "long non-coding RNA (ACOE_LNC001247)". Lineage: Eukaryota; Viridiplantae; Streptophyta; Magnoliopsida; Ranunculales; Ranunculaceae. The record is from RNAcentral.
UCAUAAUACAACUCUAGACAAAUUGACCAAAACUAAUAAUACAGUACACUUAAAUACUAAAUUAAACACUAACCAGUUUGAAUGUGCUUCUAAGGUUUUUCCAAGUCGAAAUUAUUCAGAUUUUGCUGAAAACUGUUGAAAAUUUAAACAAUUAAAAAUCAAAUUAUCUAAAAAUCAUAAUAGAUGAAAAGGAAGGAAAACUUAAAGAAUUGGAGAACCUAUUCAUCAGAGAUUCGAAGGCAAAAUCAACAACACGAACCUAAUCACGAACAACAAACAAUUCUUCUUAACUCCCCCAAUCCUUUCAAUGAGAAAGAAGAAGUAAAACAACAAAAAAAGAUUAAAAAUUUCAAAGAAAACCUUAUUGAGUCAAGAAGAAGAACUGAAGAAGAAUAAGAAGUUGUAUUGUAAUUAAAGUUUAAGAGAAUACCGAAGGACGAAGGUGUUGCUGUUGCGAGCGAUGGAACAAGAAGAAAAAUC